Chinchilla lanigera (long-tailed chinchilla) is the source of this 613-nucleotide long non-coding RNA. RefSeq lists it as uncharacterized. NCBI's taxonomy places the organism in Eukaryota, Metazoa, Chordata, Mammalia, Rodentia, Chinchillidae. The record is from RefSeq and is a predicted model, not a curated record. The transcript is spliced from 3 exons.
AUUGAAAAAGGUUGCGCUGUGCUAGAGGCUGUGUUGUCUCAAUUACUAUGUAAGACCAAGCAAGUGUAGUGUGGAAGGAUGAAGAUAUUUACAAAGUGAGGACCCUGGCCCCCUGCUGAGUUCCUUAGUUAAACUUCAAAAUUUCUCCAACUUGACACAAGGGUUUUUUGAAUAAUAUGGCCCAGAGAUAAGUAAUGGUCAGCUUCACUGUAGAAGGAUCACAAGGAGAGGGAAAACCUGAUCCCAGAAUGCAGCAGUUGCAGAGGAGAAAACUGCUCUCCAGCAGGAGCACCAAAUCCACCAGUCUCAAGGAUAAAAAGACAAUGAAGACCAAAAGCUUUACCAGUGUGCGUCUCCAGACCUUAGCAAAACAUGUCUCCAAAGACAAAAACUGUGAUUAACUCCAACUGCAUUGCCAGGCAGAAAAUCAACAAUGAAAGAACUUGAAUGGCUGCUUUUUAAAUUUUCUGAGAGGGAAACAGACUUGUAUGACAGCUUGGAGAUGCCCUUUAAACUUUAGAGUUUGGGGCCCAUAUAUGUGUGUGCUACUGCCUUUGUAAAAAUAGUGAUGGGGGUCCCUUUUUCGAGAUAAAUUUGUCCCAGUUUAGCAUAA